AAAUUGAAGAGUUUGAUCAUGGCUCAGAUUGAACGCUGGCGGCAGGCCUAACACAUGCAAGUCGAACGGUAACAGGAAACAGCUUGCUGUUUCGCUGACGAGUGGCGGACGGGUGAGUAAUGUCUGGGAAACUGCCUGAUGGAGGGGGAUAACUACUGGAAACGGUAGCUAAUACCGCAUAAUGUCGCAAGACUAAAGAGGGGGACCUUCGGGCCUCUUGCCAUCGGAUGUGCCCAGAUGGGAUUAGCUAGUAGGUGGGGUAACGG
RNAcentral lists this ribosomal RNA (266 nucleotides) under Shigella sonnei. RNAcentral's name for it is "partial 16S ribosomal RNA". It matches the Rfam family "Bacterial small subunit ribosomal RNA", at positions 1 to 263 of the family's 1533-position model. Lineage: Bacteria; Pseudomonadati; Pseudomonadota; Gammaproteobacteria; Enterobacterales; Enterobacteriaceae. The record is from RNAcentral.